ACGUGAAAUUCCGUCGGAAUCUGGGAGGACCAUCUCCUAAGGCUAAAUACUCUCUAGUGACCGAUAGUGAACCAGUACCGUGAGGGAAAGGUGAAAAGCACCCCGGAAGGGGAGUGAAAUAGAACCUGAAACCGUGUGCUUACAAGUAGUCAGAGCCCGUUAAUGGGUGAUGGCGUGCCUUUUGUAGAAUGAACCGGCGAGUUACGAUUUGAUGCAAGGUUAAGCAGUAAAUGUGGAGCCGUAGCGAAAGCGAGUCUGAAUAGGGCGUUUAGUAUUUGGUCGUAGACCCGAAACCAGGUGAUCUACCCUUGGUCAGGUUGAAGUUCAGGUAACACUGAAUGGAGGACCGAACCGACUUACGUUGAAAAGUGAGCGGAUGAACUGAGGGUAGCGGAGAAAUUCCAAUCGAACCUGGAGAUAGCUGGUUCUCUCCGAAAUAGCUUUAGGGCUAGCCUCAAGUGAUGAUUAUUGGAGGUAGAGCACUGUUUGGACGAGGGGCCCCUCUCGGGUUACCGAAUUCAGACAAACUCCGAAUGCCAAUUAAUUUAACUUGGGAGUCAGAACAUGGGUGAUAAGGUCCGUGUUCGAAAGGGAAACAGCCCAGACCACCAGCUAAGGUCCCAAAAUAUAUGUUAAGUGGAAAAGGAUGUGGCGUUGCCCAGACAACUAGGAUGUUGGCUUAGAAGCAGCCAUCAUUUAAAGAGUGCGUAAUAGCUCACUAGUCGAGUGACACUGCGCCGAAAAUGUACCGGGGCUAAACAUAUUACCGAAGCUGUGGAUUGUCCUUUGGACAAUGGUAGGAGAGCGUUCUAAGGGCGUUGAAGCAUGAUCGUAAGGACAUGUGGAGCGCUUAGAAGUGAGAAUGCCGGUGUGAGUAGCGAAAGACGGGUGAGAAUCCCGUCCACCGAUUGACUAAGGUUUCCAGAGGAAGGCUCGUCCGCUCUGGGUUAGUCGGGUCCUAAGCUGAGGCCGACAGGCGUAGGCGAUGGAUAACAGGUUGAUAUUCCUGUACCACCUAUAAUCGUUUUAAUCGAUGGGGGGACGCAGUAGGAUAGGCGAAGCGUGCGAUUGGAUUGCACGUCUAAGCAGUAAGGCUGAGUAUUAGGCAAAUCCGGUACUCGUUAAGGCUGAGCUGUGAUGGGGAGAAGACAUUGUGUCUUCGAGUCGUUGAUUUCACACUGCCGAGAAAAGCCUCUAGAUAGAAAAUAGGUGCCCGUACCGCAAACCGACACAGGUAGUCAAGAUGAGAAUUCUAAGGUGAGCGAGCGAACUCUCGUUAAGGAACUCGGCAAAAUGACCCCGUAACUUCGGGAGAAGGGGUGCUCUUUAGGGUUAACGCCCAGAAGAGCCGCAGUGAAUAGGCCCAAGCGACUGUUUAUCAAAAACACAGGUCUCUGCUAAACCGUAAGGUGAUGUAUAGGGGCUGACGCCUGCCCGGUGCUGGAAGGUUAAGAGGAGUGGUUAGCUUCUGCGAAGCUACGAAUCGAAGCCCCAGUAAACGGCGGCCGUAACUAUAACGGUCCUAAGGUAGCGAAAUUCCUUGUCGGGUAAGUUCCGACCCGCACGAAAGGCGUAACGAUUUGGGCACUGUCUCAACGAGAGACUCGGUGAAAUCAUAGUACCUGUGAAGAUGCAGGUUACCCGCGACAGGACGGAAAGACCCCGUGGAGCUUUACUGUAGCCUGAUAUUGAAAUUCGGCACAGCUUGUACAGGAUAGGUAGGAGCCUUUGAAACGUGAGCGCUAGCUUACGUGGAGGCGCUGGUGGGAUACUACCCUAGCUGUGUUGGCUUUCUAACCCGCACCACUUAUCGUGGUGGGAGACAGUGUCAGGCGGGCAGUUUGACUGGGGCGGUCGCCUCCUAAAAGGUAACGGAGGCGCUCAAAGGUUCCCUCAGAAUGGUUGGAAAUCAUUCAUAGAGUGUAAAGGCAUAAGGGAGCUUGACUGCGAGACCUACAAGUCGAGCAGGGUCGAAAGACGGACUUAGUGAUCCGGUGGUUCCGCAUGGAAGGGCCAUCGCUCAACGGAUAAAAGCUACCCCGGGGAUAACAGGCUUAUCUCCCCCAAGAGUUCACAUCGACGGGGAGGUUUGGCACCUCGAUGUCGGCUCAUCGCAUCCUGGGGCUGUAGUCGGUCCCAAGGGUUGGGCUGUUCGCCCAUUAAAGCGGUACGCGAGCUGGGUUCAGAACGUCGUGAGACAGUUCGGUCCCUAUCCGUCGUGGGCGUAGGAAAUUUGAGAGGAGCUGUCCUUAGUACGAGAGGACCGGGAUGGACAUACCUCUGGUGUACCAGUUGUCGUGCCAACGGCAUAGCUGGGUAGCUAUGUGUGGACGGGAUAAGUGCUGAAAGCAUCUAAGCAUGAAGCCCCCCUCAAGAUGAGAUUUCCCAACUUCGGUUAU
RNAcentral lists this ribosomal RNA (2399 nucleotides) under Staphylococcus aureus. RNAcentral describes it as "bacterial LSU rRNA". It matches the Rfam family "Bacterial large subunit ribosomal RNA", at positions 424 to 2830 of the family's 2925-position model. RNAcentral also lists the same sequence under 1 other name. Lineage: Bacteria; Bacillati; Bacillota; Bacilli; Caryophanales; Staphylococcaceae. The record is from RNAcentral.